RNAcentral lists this ribosomal RNA (491 nucleotides) under uncultured bacterium. RNAcentral's name for it is "bacterial SSU rRNA". It matches the Rfam family "Bacterial small subunit ribosomal RNA", at positions 28 to 516 of the family's 1533-position model. The record is from RNAcentral.
GAUGAACGCUGGCGGCGUGCUUAACACAUGCAAGUCGAACGAAGCACUUUAUUACAAUUUCUUCGGAAUGACGAUUUAGUGACUGAGUGGCGGACGGGUGAGUAACGCGUGGGUAACCUGCCUUAUACAGGGGGAUAACAGUUAGAAAUGACUGCUAAUACCGCAUAAGCGCACAGGAUUGCAUGAUCUGGUGUGAAAAACUCCGGUGGUAUAAGAUGGACCCGCGUCUGAUUAGCUGGUUGGUGAGGUAACGGCCCACCAAGGCGACGAUCAGUAGCCGACCUGAGAGGGUGACCGGCCACAUUGGGACUGAGACACGGCCCAAACUCCUACGGGAGGCAGCAGUGGGGAAUAUUGGCACAAUGGGGGGAAACCCUGAUGCAGCGACGCCGCGUGAGUGAUGAAGUAUUCGGUAUGUAAAACUCUAUCAGCAGGGAAGAUAAUGACGGUACCUGACUAAGAAGCACCGGCUAAAUACGUAGCCAGCAGCC